GUCACAAUAGAGAUCAGAGCUUCAACACGUGGGUUUGGGGGGAACAUGCCCAGUCUUGGCACGGGUGUUCCUGAACUCACAUGUGGACACAGCACAGUCACAGAUGACACAUGGAUGACACCCCUGCGGGCACGCAGUUCUGCUCCCACGCAGGCCAGAGCAGGCCAGGACAGAGCCACGUGGGCCCAGGGACACGGCCCACAGUGACACAAGCUGAGCUGGCCAGUGGGGACACAUGUGGGGAUCUUCCCGACCCAAGGAUUGAACCCGGAUCUCCUGCAUUGCAGGCAAAUUCUUUAGGGACUGAGCUAUGACGGAAUCCCACAUUGAGCAGGGUUCCUUCCCCAAGAGAAAUGCCUUACCUGCGUUACCGCCGUCGGCCAGCAGGGGGCGAUUCCCGUUUACCUGAGGCUGACAGAGGGUGAUUUUUCUGGUCUUCGUAUCAUCUCUACUGAAGGGAAAAUGAAUGUAAGCUCUGUGGGAGUUUCAGAAACUGAAGGAUUUGAGUGUUUUUUCACCCUCCUCACAAGCUCACUGGCUCACCUGUUGCAACUGUGUGGAUGCUGGGAGAAGACGUGAGACUCCUGGGUCAGAAACACGCGGUGAAGCAGCUCAGGGGGCUUCUCCAUCAGCUCCCCUCUUCUGUCAAGUUCAGGUUGAUGCCACACACACAGGGCUGGCAUCACAGCUCAGGACCUCUGUGCUUAAGGACCCCCAACCAUUUAUCAUGGGCUGCCAGCAAACCUGACCUUGGCCUUGGAAGGGAGUCAUCUUUAUUACAUGACACAGUACAAACUUCCUUUUCCUCUAAAGGGAGAUCCUAUCUCUUUUUUCCCAAGUUAUUUGCCCUGCAAACAUCCUUGAAAAGUAUAGUGCCUCUGCUGGUAAGAGGUACAGAGAUGUGAGGGACCAUGAAGAACUGUCCCUCUGCAGAGGGCAGGGUUCAUGAAUGUGCUCAUCACUGUCCCAGUCCAUCACACCAGCCACCAUGCUCUAAGCCACAGAAUGGAAGCCAUGGGGCUGCAUCAGCCAAGCAGAGUUGGUGCCGUUUUCAGAAAGACCGAAUAGGCAUACAGACCAGCAGUGGUUCUAUGGAAAAAGCACCUCCUUUAUUGCUUUCUGUAUCCUGGAUUUUCAUUCUGGAAUUUCUCUUGGCUUGCUCCUGUCUGGAAAAUGAGAUAAAAGCACCAUGUGAACCUGA
Long non-coding RNA from Odocoileus virginianus texanus, 1201 nucleotides. RefSeq lists it as uncharacterized. Lineage: Eukaryota; Metazoa; Chordata; Mammalia; Artiodactyla; Cervidae. The record is from RefSeq and is a predicted model, not a curated record.